RNAcentral lists this ribosomal RNA (498 nucleotides) under uncultured bacterium. RNAcentral describes it as "partial 16S ribosomal RNA". It matches the Rfam family "Bacterial small subunit ribosomal RNA", at positions 30 to 523 of the family's 1533-position model. The record is from RNAcentral.
AUUGAACGCUGGCGGCAUGCCUUACACAUGCAAGUCGAACGGUAACAGGUCUUCGGAUGCUGACGAGUGGCGAAAGGGUGAGUAAUACAUCGGAACGUGCCUAGUAGUGGGGGAUAACUACUCGAAAGAGUGGCUAAUACCGCAUGAGAUCUACGGAUGAAAGCAGGGGAUCGCAAGACCUUGUGCUACUAGAGCGGCCGAUGGCAGAUUAGGUAGUUGGUGGGAUAAAAGCUUACCAAGCCGACGAGCUGUAGCUGGUCUGAGAGGACGAUCAGCCACACUGGGACUGAGACACGGCCCAGACUCCUACGGGAGGCAGCAGUGGGGAAUUUUAGACAAUGGGCGCAAGCCUGAUCCAGCAAUGCCGCGUGCAGGAUGAAGGCCUUCGGGUUGUAAACUGCUUUUGUACGGAACGAAAAGCCCCGGGUUAAUACCCUGGGGUCAUGACGGUACCGUAAGAAUAAGCACCGGCUAACUACGUGCCAGCCGCCGCAGUAA